AACUUUACAAUGCUGGAAACAGCGAUAAGGGGACCUCGAGUGCCAGGUUACAAAUCUGGCUGUCGUGAUGCCUAAAAAGCAUUGCAUAGCAAGGGCCGGGCAAGACCGGUGCCAGCCGCCGCGGUAACACCGGCGGCUCGAGUGGUAACCGUUAUUAUUGGGUCUAAAGGGUCUGUAGCCGGCCGGAUAAGUCUCUUGGGAAAUCUGGCAGCUUAACUGUCAGGCUUUCAGGAGAUACUGUCUGGCUCGAGGCCGGGAGAGGUGAGAGGUACUUCAGGGGUAGGGGUGAAAUCUUGUAAUCCUUGAAGGACCACCAGUGGCGAAGGCGUCUCACCAGAACGGACCUGACGGCAAGGGACGAAAGCUAGGGGCACGAACCGGAUUAGAUACCCGGGUAGUCCUAGCCGUAAACGAUACUCGCUAGGUGUCGGCCACGGUGCGACCGUUGUCGGUGCCGUAGGGAAGCCGUGAAGCGAGCCACCUGGGAAGUACGGCCGCAAGGCUGAAACUUAA
Molecule: ribosomal RNA, 513 nt
Filed under: uncultured euryarchaeote
Lineage: Archaea; Methanobacteriati; Methanobacteriota
Description: bacterial SSU rRNA
Rfam family: Archaeal small subunit ribosomal RNA
Source: RNAcentral